GACAGAGGAGGCAAGCGUUAUCCGGAAUUAUUGGGCGUAAAGCGUACGCAGGCGGCUUCUUAAGUCUGACGUGAAAGCUCCCGGCUUAACUGGGAGAGGUCGUUGGAGACUGGGGGGCUUGAGGCGAUGAGAGGGGUGUAGAAUUCCCGGUGUAGUGGUGGAAUGCGUAGAUAUCGGGAGGAAUACCAGUGGCGAAAGCGACACCCUGGCAUAGGCCUGACGCUCAUGUACGAAAGCGUGGGGAGCAAACGGG
RNAcentral lists this ribosomal RNA (253 nucleotides) under uncultured bacterium. Its description in RNAcentral is "partial 16S ribosomal RNA". It matches the Rfam family "Bacterial small subunit ribosomal RNA", at positions 524 to 776 of the family's 1533-position model. The record is from RNAcentral.